CAGCCGCCACGGUAAUGCCUAGGUGGCAAGCGUUGCCCGGAAUUAUUGGGCGUAAAGGGCUCGCAGGCGGUUUCUUAAGUCUGAUGUGAAAGCCCCCGGCUCAACCGGGGAGGGUCAUUGGAAACUGGGAAACUUGAGUGCAGAAGAGGAGAGUGGAAUUCCACGUGUAGCGGUGAAAUGCGUAGAGAUGUGGAGGAACACCAGUGGCGAAGGCGACUCUCUGGUCUGUAACUGACGCUGAGGAGCGAAAGCGUGGGGAGCGAACAGGAUUAGAUACCCCUGUAGUCCCUGUCUCUUAUAC
This 301-nucleotide ribosomal RNA is filed under the name uncultured bacterium. RNAcentral's name for it is "partial 16S ribosomal RNA". It matches the Rfam family "Bacterial small subunit ribosomal RNA", at positions 509 to 807 of the family's 1533-position model. The record is from RNAcentral.